RNAcentral lists this ribosomal RNA (428 nucleotides) under uncultured archaeon. RNAcentral describes it as "bacterial SSU rRNA". It matches the Rfam family "Archaeal small subunit ribosomal RNA", at positions 474 to 903 of the family's 1478-position model. The record is from RNAcentral.
UACCAGCCCCUCGAGUGGUGGGGAUGAUUAUUUGGCCUAAAGCGUCCGUAGCCGGCCGGGUAAGUUUCCCGUUAAAUCCAAUGUCUCAAGCAUUGGACUGCGGGAAAUACUGCCUGGCUAGAGAGUGGGAGAGGUGUACGGUAUUCUGGGGGUAGGGGCGAAAUCCUUUGAUCCCCGGAGGACCACCAGUGGCGAAGGCUGUACACUAGAACACGUCUGACGGUCAGGGACGAAAGCUGGGGUAGCGAACCGGAUUAGAUACCCGGGUAGUCCCAGCUGUAAACGAUGCAUGCUAGGUGUUGGGUUGGCCACGAGCCACCCCAGUGCCGCAGGGAAGCCGUUAAGCAUGCCGCCUGGGAAGUACGAUCGCAAGAUUGAAACUUAAAGGAAUUGGCGGGGAGCACCACCAGGCGUGAAGCCUGCGGUUU